GAUGAAGAACGCAGCGAAAUGCGAUAAGUAAUGUGAAUUGCAGAAUUCAGUGAAUCAUCGAAUCUUUGAACGCACCUUGCGCUCCUUGGUAUUCCGAGGAGCAUGCCUGUUUGAGUGUCAUGAAAUUCUCAACUACACUGACUUUGAAUUGGUGUGGCUUGGAUUUGGGGGGAAAAUUGUUGUGGGCUUUUUGUAUAGUCUGCUCCCCUGAAAUUGAUUAGCGGUACCUUUGUGGAACUGUCUACAGGUGUGAUAAUUAUCUACAUCUUAGACAUCUGCUGGAAUGCUGCUUUCUAAACCUUACUUGUAUUGACAAUCUUGACCUCAAAGCAGGUAGGACUACCCGCUGAACUUAAGCAUAUCAAUAAGCGGAGGA
Molecule: unclassified non-coding RNA, 376 nt
Filed under: soil metagenome
Description: partial contains 5.8S ribosomal RNA, internal transcribed spacer 2, and large subunit ribosomal RNA
Rfam family: 5.8S ribosomal RNA (bases 1-120)
Source: RNAcentral